GGGUCGCUAGCUCAAUUGGCAGAGCAACGGACUCUUAAUCCGCAGGUUCCGGGUUCAAGUCCCGGGCGGCCUA
This 73-nucleotide transfer RNA is filed under the name Acidimicrobiia bacterium. Its description in RNAcentral is "tRNA-Lys". It matches the Rfam family "tRNA". Rfam says of the family: Transfer RNA (tRNA) molecules are approximately 80 nucleotides in length. Their secondary structure includes four short double-helical elements and three loops (D, anti-codon, and T loops). Further hydrogen bonds mediate the characteristic L-shaped molecular structure. tRNAs have two regions of fundamental functional importance: the anti-codon, which is responsible for specific mRNA codon recognition, and the 3' end, to which the tRNAs corresponding amino acid is attached (by aminoacyl-tRNA synthetases). tRNAs cope with the degeneracy of the genetic code in two manners: having more than one tRNA (with a specific anti-codon) for a particular amino acid; and 'wobble' base-pairing, i.e. permitting non-standard base-pairing at the 3rd anti-codon position. RNAcentral also lists the same sequence under 1 other name. Lineage: Bacteria; Bacillati; Actinomycetota; Acidimicrobiia. The record is from RNAcentral.